This 229-nucleotide unclassified non-coding RNA is filed under the name plant metagenome. RNAcentral's name for it is "partial contains small subunit ribosomal RNA, internal transcribed spacer 1, and 5.8S ribosomal RNA". The record is from RNAcentral.
UCUCCGUAGGUGAACCUGCGGAGGGAUCAUUACAGAGUUCUCGCCCUCGCGGGUAGAUCUCCCACCCACUGUUAUCGUUACUGUGUUGCUUCGGCGGGCCGCCGGGCCCCGCUCGGCCGCCGGCUCCGGCUGGCGCGCGCCCGCCAGAGGCCCAGCAAACUCUGAAUGUUAGUGUCGUCUGAGUACUAUAUAAUAGUUAAAACUUUCAACAACGGAUCUCUUGGUUCUG